UACGUAGGGUGCAGGCGUUAAUCGGAAUUACUGGGCGUAAAGCGUGCGCAGGCGGUUUGCUAAGACAGGUGUGAAAUCCCCGGGCUUAACCUGGGAACUGCGCUUGUUACUGGCAAGCUAGAGUGUGGCAGAGGGGGUGGAAGUCCACGUGUAGCAGUGAAAUGCGUAGAGAUGUGGAGGAACACCGAUGGCGAAGGCAGCCCCCUGGGCGUAACA
Molecule: ribosomal RNA, 216 nt
Filed under: uncultured bacterium
Lineage: Bacteria
Description: partial 16S ribosomal RNA
Rfam family: Bacterial small subunit ribosomal RNA
Source: RNAcentral